CGGCAUGGGAGAGGCGGUGAGUAAAAAGGAGGCCAGGAGGAAGGACUCAGCCUCUUCCUAAUGGGCCUCAGGGCGUCAGCUCUGGCCUCACAUUUGCACACCCCACGUAGCAAACAGACGGGCCUCCGGGACCUCCCCUUGUCCCCAGACGGCAGGUGAAAGCCUUUCUUCCUCCCCCGCACGCGCUCUUGCUGGGAGGGGCUCCGCGAGGUCCAGCUUUUUCCGAUGGUUUCCUCUGCCGCCGCGUUUCAGCGUCCGUUAUCGGCCCGCGUGCUGACACCCGACGUCGCCGGGCCGGUGGUGAGCAGGGGCGUGGCAGCAGGCCACUGUCCGCCGCACGGUCAGGGCUCAGUAAGAGCAGCUGUUGUUACUAUUACUACAGGAAGUUGACCAGGCUUACAAAAUUCUUCAGUUGAAAAGCUGCAAGAGUUCAAACUAUGUCCUUUUUCCUGAACCUGAAGGAAGAAAAUCUUUAAGUAUUUAUCUGUUGUCUCCUGAGCACGUCGGAGUGUGCUCGAGUUUGUUCCUUUGUAUGUGAUGGAUUGCUUUGUUUGAGUGACAUUGCCAGGAGGUGACACGGAGGAGCGUCAGUAAAGAAACGAAUGGGUUUAUUUUGUAAGUGAUAUCUCAGUUCUGAGGUAGCUUCGAGAAGCCCUCAAGACCUAGAAGCUUCUCCGUCCUACUGAAUUAAAUGUCUGAGACAAUGAUGUGGUCAAGCUUCCAGUUAACACACAACAAAGCCGUGCAGCCGCCCGUUGGACUGCGGGCUGCACGGCUGACAGGAGCCGGUUCUGAUGCCCACAGGAAAACAAGGGUGUGAAGCAAGAAAGACAGGGGAGAGUUUUGCAUCAGAGAGAGUAGAUAGUGAUUAAUUACUUUUGGGGUUAGGGUUUUUAAAUAACAGCUUUCCGGACAAUUCUCAUUCUUCUUGGUGACAUAUUCUGCUUUAGAUUUUUAAUUCUGGAGGUCAGAUUAUUUUUUAAAAGCAGUAAAGAAUAUUAAAUUGUAACCAUAAAGGGGAAACAUUUUAAUAUAAAAAAUAUAUCUGAAAUAUCCUGUUAGCAUAUUAAUAUUUACCCCAUUUGGUCCUUCCCCAUAUGUUCAUAUUAUUUGUAUGUAAAUACAGUUAUGUUUAUAUUCCACUUUUUCAUUGAUAUAAAUUGUAUCUAUAUAUAUUUCCUUCAAGGACUUUUGAUUAUAUAAAAUAUUUCUGUAGUUUACUAUGACACCCUUAAAAACGUUUUUAAGCAUCAGGUCAUUGAGAAGGGACCAUUCUGUUUUACUCAUUGUUGUUGUUAAGAUUAAUUUUAUAUUUGUUAAGACCCACCAAUGAAAUACAUGUCUAUGCUAGUCUGUGAAAUGGGUUAAAAGAUGCAAGAAAAAACCUCCAAACGAAAAGACUUUUGUGGAUCUUUUCUCCAGGAAUGGUAAAAACAAUAUUCCUCUUUCAUUCGUGCUUAUUCAUUUGAUCAAUACUAAUUGGAUACCUGCACUGGGCAAAGCAUUGUGUGAGAGACGUCACUGUAGAACGGUCACUUCCUUCCUUCAGCCAGCUUACUAUCUGUCGGGAGAGGUACCUCCCACACGGGUGGCAUAUGAUACAUGGGCUGGGCGGGACACCAACAGUGCCGUGGUGUAGGAGGAUAAAGGAACUUUUUGGCCACAGUGAUUCGGUGAGAUAUCAUGGAGGGACUGGAUUUUAAAUUGGAGUUGAGGAGUGGAUAGGGAAAGACAGAGAAAAGACGUUCAGUCAUCUGAGAUUAACAAAAGCAAAGUCGCUGAAGAAGGGACCGUUAGGCACAUUAGAAGAACAAUGAGUGGUCCACAUUUGUUGAAGUGCAGGGUUCCUGUGGGGAAAUGGUGCUGGGAAACCCAGGGAGAGCCUGGAGCUGGAUUCUGGAGGGCCUCAAAGCUUUAUUUAAAUAGGACGCCACUGAUGGUUUCUAAAUAGUUGAGUGACUAAAAAAUAGAGCUUUAAAAUAUUAAUCUGAGGGGCUGGCCCCGUGGCUGAGUGGUUAAGUUCACGCGUUCCGCUGCAGGUGGCCCAGUGUUUCAU
Equus caballus (horse) is the source of this 2056-nucleotide non-coding RNA. The record is from RefSeq and is a predicted model, not a curated record. NCBI's taxonomy places the organism in Eukaryota, Metazoa, Chordata, Mammalia, Perissodactyla, Equidae.